CUGCUCAAUGAAUAAUUUAAAUAGCUGCAGUAUAAAUAACUGUACAAAGGUAGCAUAAUAAUUUGUUUUCUAAUUAAAAACUAGAAUGAAUGAUUUAAUGAAAUAUAAACUGUAUCAAAUUUAAAAAAUAAACUUUUUAUUUAAAUAAAAAAAUUUAAAUAAUUUUUAAAGACGAGAAGACCCUAAAGAAUUUUUAUAAUAAAUUUUAAUAUAAUUAAUUUUAUUAUAUUAAUUGGGGAAAUUUUAAAAUUAAAAAAAUUUUUAAUUAAAUAAACAUAAAUUUUUGAAUAUUUAUAAUUUUUUAAAAAAUUAAAUUUAAUUACCUUAGGGAUAACAGCAUAAUUUUUUUAAAAAG
RNAcentral lists this ribosomal RNA (355 nucleotides) under Cotesia urabae. RNAcentral's name for it is "partial 16S ribosomal RNA". Lineage: Eukaryota; Metazoa; Arthropoda; Insecta; Hymenoptera; Braconidae. The record is from RNAcentral.